AAGUCGUAACAAGGUUUCCGUAGGUGAACCUGCGGAAGGAUCAUUAACACGUUAUCCACGUAUUCACCCUUUGCGAACUUCGUUUUUAAAACAUAUUUUAAAAAACAAACUCAUUAUUAUUCACCCCUUUCACCCUACAUUUUUGCUAGUUGACUUUUUCUUUUUAAUGUUGUUUUGUUAUGUUUGUUUACUCAAACGUUCCGAACACACGUUUAAAUAAUUUUUACUUGAACGUUAAAAAAAAUACAACUCUUAGCAAUGGAUAUCUUGGUUCUC
Molecule: unclassified non-coding RNA, 276 nt
Filed under: fungal sp.
Lineage: Eukaryota; Fungi
Description: partial internal transcribed spacer region
Rfam family: Eukaryotic small subunit ribosomal RNA (bases 1-46)
Source: RNAcentral